Molecule: ribosomal RNA, 831 nt
Filed under: uncultured bacterium
Lineage: Bacteria
Description: bacterial SSU rRNA
Rfam family: Bacterial small subunit ribosomal RNA
Source: RNAcentral
AGAGUUUGAUCCUGGCUCAGAAUAAACGCUGGCGGCGUGCCUAACACAUGCAAGUCGAACGAGAAAGCCAUGACUUCGGUUGGGCGAGUAAAGUGGCGCACGGGUGAGUAACGCGUAGGCAACCUACCCUUGAAUUUGGGAUAACAGUGCGAAAGUGCUGCUAAUACCGGAUACGACCCUUUUGUGCUGGGCGAAAGGGUGAAAGUCGGCCACUGGAACAAGCCGACGUUCGGGGAUGGGCCUGCGUCCUAUCAGCUGGUUGGUAGGGUAACGGCCUACCAAGGCGACGACGGGUAGCUGGUCUGAGAGGAUGAUCAGCCACACUGGCACUGGAACACGGGCCAGACUCCUACGGGAGGCAGCAGUGAGGAAUUUUGCGCAAUGGCCGCAAGGCUGACGCAGCAACGCCGCGUGGGUGAAGAAGGCCUUCGGGUCGUAAAGCCCUGUCAGGUGGGAAGAACGACACGGGGAGGAAUAUGCUCUGUGAGUGACGGUACCACCAGAGGAAGCACCGGCUAACUCCGUGCCAGCAGCCGCGGUAAUACGGAGGGUGCGAGCGUUAUUCGGAAUUACUGGGCGUAAAGCGCGUGUAGGCGGCCAACCAAGUCUGAUGUGAAAGCCCUGGGCUUAACCUGGGAAGUGCAUUGGAAACUGGCUGGCUUGAGUACUGGAGAGGAAGGGGGAAUUCCCGGUGUAGAGGUGAAAUUCGUAGAGAUCGGGAGGAAUACCAGAGGCGAAAGCGGCCUCCUGGCCCACAACUGACGCUCAGACGCGAAAGCUAGGGUAGCAAACGGGAUUAGAGACCCCGGUAGUCCUAGCCGUAAACGAUGU